UCUGAAGCUUGGGACUAAGAUCAAUACAAUUUGAUUUACAAGUUUUGAGUAUGGAUUCAAUAGCAAAUGCUAUUCUCAAACAUAUUCUGGGAAUGAGAUGGGUAUUUUGUUGUGCUGAAGGAGAUGAGCAUCGGAAUUAUUUCUACAACUCGGAUAUUGUAAUAAAAUAUUUCAAAAUUGUACUUAAUGCUGAUAAAAAAAAUUA
Molecule: unclassified non-coding RNA, 205 nt
Filed under: Hevea brasiliensis (rubber tree)
Lineage: Eukaryota; Viridiplantae; Streptophyta; Magnoliopsida; Malpighiales; Euphorbiaceae
Source: RNAcentral